UCCGGGGUCGGAACCACAGCGGGCGCGUGCUCCCCGCGCGCCGCCCUUCCCGGAGCCGGAGCGGGCUGCCUCCCCUGCAGGAUGCAUUUUUCCUGCCGUCAGGGAGGUAAUGAAGUGUUGUGAUGUAAAAGUCACCUCUGGGGGAUAGUCACCAUUAGUAAGCUCUGUGCCCAGCUUGAGGCUCGAACUCAUGACCCUGAGAUCAAGAGCUGAAUGCUGUACCAACUGAGCCAGCCAAGUGCCCAGAACAGGACACAGAGUAGGAGAGAGAAGUCUGAGGGCAGUGCAUGAGACCGGCUCACUUCUUCCUCGCCGAGGGAUUGUGACCUAAUGCAACCAUGCUGAGAAACCAAAGACAACUUCUUUUUAUUGCUUGUGGUCAAACAGCAAGUUCAUUUUGCCAUGGGAUGAUCAAACGGCCAGCCUCCCCCGGCUUGAGAAGGGCCACCUGGGAAAACAGCAGGCUGUUGCUGUGGACGCUGGAAAGAGCUGAGCUGUCAGUUUGCAGUCUAACUGGGCUUCCACUGGUCUUUCUGCAAAAUUUCAAGCACCAAUUCGACUGCUUUCUUAUCAACACUGCUGCUCUUGUGGGAACAUGUCUUCCUGGUUCAGCCAAGAAUUCUGCUGUCUGGGAUUGUUCAGGACAAAACCACAGUGCCCGUGGGGGGUGGUGUGUCUGUGUAAACCUGAACAUCAGAUUGCACUGGUAGGGCAGGUCCUUUGUUGGCCAGGCUUGACACCUUGUAUUCUUUCUUUCUCAGGCUGUGAAUAGAACAUGAUUUGGCAUCGGCCAAAUCCAUCUGCACAGAGUGAAAAGGAAGGCGCUAGGUGCAGGAGAGGGAGCCGGCAAAAGAGGAGGGAGUGGCUAAAUGAAUGAAAGCCUGAUGAGACCAUUGUGAAGAUUAAAAAGGCCUGUUUGUUAAACUGUGACCCCUUUAAAGGACAGUACAGGUUUUACCAAAGCAAGAACCCAGCCGGGCUACGGCUAAUUGCUGCCAUGUUUCUGAACGGUCUGCCUUUGGUAAGUGAUUUCCAUGGGAACAUGGCUGGCACCACGAGGAUGCAGCCGGAGGACAUGGGGGAGGGGAAGGCAGGGGCCCUCUGUUCACCUCCUCAGCCCCCCUGGCCCCAGCAGUCCCUGAAACCUCCCUGAGGAUCACAGAGUUAUGGGAGGAAGCUCUGUUCUCAGAGGCAGGGCACCCACGCCUGCACCUUGGCUCAUUGCUCACCUGGCUAAAUCACAUAGCCUCUCAGCCUUUGUGGAGAUCUCUUGCGUAUUUGGAAUAAAGGCACUAAUAUUCCUGAGCCACUUGAUCGGGUUGUUUGUGAGGCCUAAAAUAAUACCUGUGAACACGCUCCGUAAACUGGGAUGAGCCUCGUGCAGGGGACUAUUGCCACGUUAACCUUAAUUUCUGCUCUUUUUUCUAGGCUGAGUUGCAUCUUGUUUCUCUCUUUGAAAACUCCCUUCCCCCGUGGCUGGUCAGUUUCCACCAUCCUGUACCUCUGGAUCAUGCUUGAGCUCUGACAUUGUACUGCUCCGUCUCUCUUGGUGGGGGAGCACGAAGGGACCCUCUUCCCUGAACAUCUAUUUCUCUUCCUCAGCCCUGUCUCCUUCAGAUCCCUGCACACAGGUUGUCACCUGUCCAUGAUGAAUGUUUAGUGAAGGGUCUUCUGGAUUCUUGUUCUUCACCCCCUACUGGCGGGGAAUGAGGCCUCUUUCUUCCUUCCUACCUACCUCGAUGCAAAGCAUUCAAUGAACUCCUUCAAAGGAAUCUGAGGAGUCACUUUGUCCUCGUGGGAGCACAUGCCCCCUUCUGGCCUUUGCUCCUUUCGCUGCCUGGUCCAGCUUACCCUGCGUCUUGACAUCAAUCCCUGCAUCUGACACAGCCCCCAUCCGCUGGAGUAUCGGCUUCAUCUGGGCUUUUUCGGUGUGAGGCCCAGCCAGCGCUGUCCCCAAGCCUCCCGUGCAGGUGUACAAUGUAGUGACUCAACAAUUCUCUACAUGACUCCAUUCUCAUCAUGAUUUCUGUUUCCUGGAUGGGCUGUGGCUCCCAGCAGAAUACUGAGUGAUCACUUUGUGAAGGGAGUCUUGGUCCUGAUCCUCAUGAGGUAUUAGUUUAUUGUCCUUACCAGUUUACUAGUUAUUGUGCUCUGAGCUGUUAUUCUGGUCUCAAUGUUCUUGAUCAUAUUAAGAUACAUGUUAGUUUCAGAAACGGUCUUGUGUACUUAUCCUGAAUUUUCAGCUUUUUUUUUUUAAAGUUCAAUUUUUUUUAAAUUUCUAAAAGCCCGUUGCUUUUGUAUUCUGUAUUUUUUUUCAUUUUUCGUGAUCAAAUUCUUCAUAUUCCAUUUAUUCUAUGUCCCUAGUCUCUUCUGAUUUACUCUAUUUAUUACUACUUUUAAAAUAAUUUAUCUUUGAAUCCAAAAAGUGUCUCAUGACUGGAUGGUACAGACAAGGAGAGGAAAGAUCAAGGGUACCAAAUAAUCUUCGGGUAAAACAUCAAAUGUGACAGAUUUUUUAAAAAUUCCACUUGUUCACCUGAAAAGAAAUUGAUUGAUGACUGGCACACAGAGGAGAAAAGCUGGUAACUACCACUUUGGCUGACUUGUAUGUGCAAGAUACAAUUAAAUUAAAGAGAAAUGAUCACAAAAGCCCACCACACACACACACACACACACACACACACACACACACACACAAUAAUGGAGUUAUUUCAAAAAGACAGAGGAUCAAAGUGUAAGAGCUCCACUGACUACAGGUGGAAAAUAAAAAAAAGUAGUAUUGCACUAUGAGCCCAAGUACGAAAUCGGAGUCCAUACUUCUACAAAUAAGUGACUGAAUAAAUAAAUCAAGGGAGGGGGAGGGAGAAGAGACCAAUCUCCUGUGCAGAAGAAAUCUGAAUAAGUUAUGUACAUGCUCAGACUCAAGGAGGUGGAACAUAACUCCCCGUUCCUCAAGUGUCGCUGGGCAUGGUGACUUCGUUCCAGAGGAUGCUGUAUGGAAGAGAGGGAAGAAGAGCAACUUCACAGUGGAGAAACCUGGUAGACACCAUCACCUCAGUCAGGUGAUCAUGGUCAACAUCAAGCCGGAAAAGUCAUGUUGAUAACAUGUGCCCUUCGUGUGUGAUGACACUGGCCCUUGACUUGCAUUGUCUUCCUCUCCCAAACUCAGAACCCUAGAUGCAUCCUCACGGAGGGACAUUCUACAAAAUACUGACUUGUGGUUGUCAAAGUCACGGCAUACGUGUGAGGAACUGUCACAACCAAGAGGAGCCUAAGGAGACAUGACAACUGACUGUCGGAACACAAAAAGCAUAUUACGUAAAAUUCCAUAAAAACUAAGGAAAUGUGAAUGAAGCAUAAUCUUGAGUUACUAAGAAUGUAUCAAUAUUGGUUCAUUAGUUGUAACAAAGAUACUAUAUUAAUUUAAGGUGUUAGUGAUAGAGGAAACUGGGUGGGAGGUAUAUGAGAACUUUUUUUUUUUUUUACUAUCUGCAGUUUUUCUGUAAAUACAAAACUGUUCUAAAAAAUAAAGUUUAUUUACUUAUUAAAAUUUUUUUAACAUUUAUUUAUUAUUGAGAGACAGAGCUUGAACAGGGGAGGGGGCAGAGAGAGAGGGAGACACAGAAUCAGAAGCAGGCUCCAGGCUCUGAGCCGUCAGCACAGAGCCCGACCCUGUGCUCGAACUCACAAACUGCAAGAUCGUGACCUGAGCCGAAGUCGGCCGCUUAACUGACUGAGCCACCCAGGGGCCCCAAUAAAGUUGAUUUAAGAAAUAAUCACACCUUAAUUCCUUGGUGUUCUUAAAGCUGCGAUUACCACACACCAUGGUGGAACCCAACUGUAACUCAUGAAUGGCUAGCCCUGGUUGGCAUUCCAACCAGCAUUGCAUCUGGGACUGAUUACCAAUGUACCUUUGUCUCCUAGGUGAUUGCUUGGUUAUAGUUCCAUAGAGGGUACUCAGUUAAAUUUUAAAUGCUCCUCUGAGAAAACAGCAAGAACAAAUGGACAUAACUUGCAGUCAGAAGGGGUUGAGUUAGAGUUCUGGUGUGCUGUGAAGUCAAGCUAUGUGAUGUUCCUAGCUAGGUAUCUUUUAAAGGGUGAGUUGACCAUAGGUCAGUUUGGGUAGCCUGGCUUCAGCACGUCUUCGAGUAAAUCAGGCAAGAAAAUGAACUGUCGGGUGCCUGGGUGGUUCUCUUGGUUAAGCAUCUGACUCUUGAUUUUGGCUCAGGUCAUGAUCUCACAGUGGGAUCAUGUGGCAUCCAGACUCGCGUCGGGCUCUGCCCUGAUAGCGUGGAGCCUGCUUGGGAUUCUCUCUCUCUCUCUCUCUCUCUCUCUCUCUGUCUGCCCCUCCCCCACUUGUGUACACAUGCUCACACACUCACUCUCUCCCUUAAAAUAAAUAAACAGAAAAAAUGAAUUGGUACAGUUUCCAGGAGGCCCUAAGAGUUUUUGUAUCUUAAGCCAAAAAUUGCCAUAAACUAAAAAUUGGUCUAAGUGGUUCCAAUCACAUAGAAAUUGUUCUUCAAAUUGUCUCCAGUCUCUGCCAUUCUCUCCAUCAACACAUGAUUUAUUAAUUUUGUUUCAGAGACUUGAGUUCAGGCUGCAUAAAUCAUGAAUAAAGAUUAGUUUAACAGUCACAAUGCCCCCUGGGACAAUGUUUCAAGUGAAGAAAACUCAAAAUUGUCGCAGAGUGAAAAUAAUAUGACAGUUGUAUCAAUAUUUGCAAACUGAAGCGAUAUUCAGUACCCUUAAAGAGGCGGGGAAUAAAUUCUAUUCCUUCUCAUUUUAUGCAAACUCCAGAACUUUCCUUUUUAAUUUUUUAUCAAUAUUUUCCCCUUUGAGAAUGUUUUGACAACAAGUCUCAGUUCACCCUGAUCUGCCUCCAGCUGUUAAGCAAAUCAGACACUGACCUCUUGCUACUGCCUUGAUGACUUAAAUACUUUAGAGAAACAAUGUAUUACCUGGCUCCCAAGCCAUUCACAGUAAUGACAGUUUGCCAUCUUUAUGCAUUAAAAAACGAGAGAACUGUCUGUUAGUGUGGCAAAUACCAUGG
Molecule: long non-coding RNA, 5053 nt
Organism: Acinonyx jubatus (cheetah)
Lineage: Eukaryota; Metazoa; Chordata; Mammalia; Carnivora; Felidae
Exons: 8
Source: RefSeq, a predicted model, not a curated record